GAGAGAGGGUGCGCAGACGGCCAGCCGGGCCGCGCCAGGGACAUACUGGAGACAGGAAGUGGCUGAGAGGGGGAGAGAGUUGGAGAGAGACGGCCGCGGAGGACACGGGGACGGGAAAGUCUGAGAGACGGGGAGAGCCUGACCCGGCGGGACACAGGCAGAAAGAAACACGCGAGCCAGACAGACGCAGAAGAAACGUGCCUGGUACUGGAUAGGAACUUCAUGGAAUGGAGCUAAUGGGCCGUAGGGCAGGUUUGAGUCGUGCCACCCUGGAGCAGAAGGUGGAGGGUAGGGAUAAGGGGGUGGAGCACCUGAUUCCAAUCUUGCCACAGGGAAGAAGAGUCUGUGAAGAAGGUGGAGAGAAACUAGGAGAAAAGCACAGGAUGUAGAGGUCUAUUCGGCAUAAUCUUCUCCCUCAUUUUCAUCUUCACCAUCAACAGAGAGAGCAGCAUACUUGCUUGCAGAACUGAACUUCUGUAACACAACGAGAGUGACAGGAUAAUGAAGGCCCUGAAUUAUCACAUCAAAACCCAAGACACAGGAUACUGAUCCUUUGGCAAUGGGGGAUGACAGUCAGAUGACACCCACUUGCUUGCUCAUCAGCAUUGUCCAUUGGAGAGGAGCUAGGGAAGAGGGUCAGAGGCACAUGCGAUCUUACUAUAGUCUCAUACCACCUCUACACCUUGCAGAAGGGAUGAGAACAAAGGAAGACAGAAACCAGGAAAAAGCUAAACUUCUUUCGCUAUUUCAGUAAAGACCAAUGUCUUAUUUCCAAACACUUUGUAUUCCAAAUGGAAAGAAGUCCAACGGCAAAAAGUUUAGAAUACUAAGAAUUUUUAAUUCUUAGUAAGAAUACUUAGAAUUCUAAGAAUUUUUCUUAGAAUGAAAAAUUGGGAGCAGCCUUCAACACUUACGGAAGCUGGAUUUUCCUCAGGUUUCUUUGGCUCAGGUGCAGAUCUGGAGUCUUGAUCCUUUUUGCCAUCUUUCCUGCAGAGACGUAAGCAUAAAACCAUGUCUU
Molecule: long non-coding RNA, 1018 nt
Filed under: Homo sapiens (human)
Lineage: Eukaryota; Metazoa; Chordata; Mammalia; Primates; Hominidae
Description: non-protein coding lnc-SPRYD3-1:5
Source: RNAcentral